Molecule: long non-coding RNA, 579 nt
Organism: Mytilus californianus (California mussel)
Lineage: Eukaryota; Metazoa; Mollusca; Bivalvia; Mytilida; Mytilidae
Exons: 3
Source: RefSeq, a predicted model, not a curated record
UUUGUGGAGGUCCUGAAUUAAUUAAGGAUAUCAUGCAAUCGAAUUAUUGCGGUCCUGAAAUUUUUCAGGAGGUCAACGAUUUAUGGAUAUCCUGAAUACGAAUAAUGGAGGUCCUGAAAUAUUUUGACUAAAUCUGCGCCAUAUACUUAUAGAAGAGAAUUAAUAUAUAUUUUUCUGCUAAAUGUUAUAUUAAUAUCUUAAAACAGUUUUUCUUUUUCAGCCUAUUCUUCGACUGUGCUAAAUGCAGGAGAAACAUGUACCACGUUUACAGAGGAAAAGUGUAUGAAUGAACAAAAGAAAACUGACCUUAUAGAUGUAUAUCUACAUGUAUUAUUAGGAAACAUUCGGACCUUAUUAAUGUAUUGAAAUAUGUCUGUAAAAACGUUCCAUGGAAUGUAAAUUUGUAAAACCACUACAUAUAUUGGAAUGAAAUAUUCAUUGUACAACUUUCAAACAUAUAUAAUGUGAAACAUAUUUGAGCAUAUUUCUACCAAUGGAUUUCCUAUUAUACAAAUCCAAUUUGUUAAAUAUUUUGGCAAAUAUCUUAUGUGCAUAAUCAACUCUGAACAUACUUUUUGU